This is a transfer RNA of Coccidioides immitis H538.4, 82 nucleotides long. It matches the Rfam family "tRNA". From Rfam's summary of the family: Transfer RNA (tRNA) molecules are approximately 80 nucleotides in length. Their secondary structure includes four short double-helical elements and three loops (D, anti-codon, and T loops). Further hydrogen bonds mediate the characteristic L-shaped molecular structure. tRNAs have two regions of fundamental functional importance: the anti-codon, which is responsible for specific mRNA codon recognition, and the 3' end, to which the tRNAs corresponding amino acid is attached (by aminoacyl-tRNA synthetases). tRNAs cope with the degeneracy of the genetic code in two manners: having more than one tRNA (with a specific anti-codon) for a particular amino acid; and 'wobble' base-pairing, i.e. permitting non-standard base-pairing at the 3rd anti-codon position. NCBI's taxonomy places the organism in Eukaryota, Fungi, Ascomycota, Eurotiomycetes, Onygenales, Onygenaceae. The record is from Rfam.
GGCACUGUGGCGGAGCGGUCUAACGCGCCAGACUAGAAAUCUGGUUCCUUCGGGAGCGCUGGUUCGAAUCCAGCCGGUGUCG